ACAAAAAGCAAAGACUCCUCUUGAUUGGUGGAAUGCUUUUGGUGGACUUAGCAUUGAGCUUCAAACACUAGCAAUGCGCAUCACAAGCCUUUGUUGUUCAUCUUCCGGUUGUGAGCGCAAUUGGAGCACAUUUGAAUUUAUCCAUACAAAGAAAAGAAACCGCUUAGAGCAUAAGAGAUUGAACGACUUGGUUUAUGUUCAAUACAAUCGCAAAAUUGCAAGUAGGUUUCAAAAGAUGCGUGAACAAGGCUCCAACUUUAAUCCAUUGGUCUUAGAAGAGUUCCAAUGGGACAAUGAAUGGAUUAAUGGUGGUGAAUCUAGUGAUGAUGUUCAUCCCGG
Molecule: long non-coding RNA, 339 nt
Organism: Ipomoea nil (Japanese morning glory)
Lineage: Eukaryota; Viridiplantae; Streptophyta; Magnoliopsida; Solanales; Convolvulaceae
Exons: 3
Source: RefSeq, a predicted model, not a curated record